GACGAACGCUGGCGGCGUGCUUAACACAUGCAAGUCGAACGGCAAGGCCCUGCUUUUUUGGGGUUCUGGAGUGGGGAAGGGGGGAGUGACACGUGAGUAUCCUGCCCUACUCUUUGGGGUAGGUUCAGGUAACUGGGCCUAAUAUAGGAGAGGAUCCGCUCCUGCGGGGUGGGGGGGGGAAAGUUUCUGCCGUUGGGGAUGGAUUCGCGGCUUAGGGGCUUGCUGGUGGGGUGGUGGCUGACCAAGGCUUGGGCGGGUAGCCGGCCGGAGAGGGUGGCCGGCGUCAUUGGGACUGAGAUACGGCCCAGACUCCUACGGGAGGCAGCAGUGGGGAAUAUUGCCCAAUGGGCGGACGCCGGUUGAGGCAACGCCGCGUGCGGGAUGACGGCCUUCGGGUUGUAAACCGCUUUCGCUUGUUACGACGCGUGAGUGACGGUAAUGGGUGAAGAAGCACCGGCUAACUACGUG
This 468-nucleotide ribosomal RNA is filed under the name uncultured bacterium. Its description in RNAcentral is "partial 16S ribosomal RNA". It matches the Rfam family "Bacterial small subunit ribosomal RNA", at positions 28 to 507 of the family's 1533-position model. The record is from RNAcentral.